CGGGUGCACGGGGCGCAUCGCGCUUGACGUGCGGAAACACAAACUCCAACGGCCUGGGGGUCAAGGGGUCGCAGGUUCAAAUCCUGUCAGCCCGACCA
This 98-nucleotide transfer RNA is filed under the name Paractinoplanes abujensis. RNAcentral describes it as "tRNA-OTHER". The record is from RNAcentral. Lineage: Bacteria; Bacillati; Actinomycetota; Actinomycetes; Micromonosporales; Micromonosporaceae.